Molecule: unclassified non-coding RNA, 342 nt
Filed under: Trechispora sp.
Lineage: Eukaryota; Fungi; Basidiomycota; Agaricomycetes; Trechisporales; Hydnodontaceae
Description: partial contains 5.8S ribosomal RNA, internal transcribed spacer 2, and large subunit ribosomal RNA
Rfam family: 5.8S ribosomal RNA (bases 1-71)
Source: RNAcentral
GUGAGUCAUCGAAUCUUUGAACGCACCUUGCGCUCCUUGGUAUUCCGAGGAGCAUGCCUGUUUGAGUGUCUUGAAGUCAUCAACCCCUCCCGUUUUGUGCGGAGAGGCAGGUUGGAUCUGGGGGCCUGCUGCUGUCUGGCGGCUCCCCUCAAAUGCGUCGGUUGGGCCUGUGGGUCGAACUCGGUCGGGCGUUGUACCAUCCUCGCUCUUGUCCGAGAUGUUCCCCCUUUACUGAGCCCUUCCCAGACUGCCUGUGGAGCGGCAGUCAAGCUGAACUUUGAAAUCUGACCUCAAAUCAGGUAGGACUACCCGCUGAACUUAAGCAUAUCAAUAAGCGGAGGA